Molecule: long non-coding RNA, 3041 nt
Organism: Bombus pascuorum
Lineage: Eukaryota; Metazoa; Arthropoda; Insecta; Hymenoptera; Apidae
Exons: 4
Source: RefSeq, a predicted model, not a curated record
GGUAAAAGCGGCGAGAACGUAAUUAAUAUUCGAAAUCUGAAACGUGGAAACGACGCUGGUUCCUACCGGUGGAUAAACGUUCGUCCGUUCGGUGAAUGCUUUCACUAUGCGUGCCUACUGCUGGGAUUAGGCAUGCUGGGAAUCCACAUAACGGAGAAGGCAUUGUUACACGUUCCUAUCAACUGUAACGAUGCUGUUUCUAAUCCCUAGAAAUCAAGAAUCUAGUCUUUAAUAACAUAUUUAAAAAAAAAAAACAAAAAGAAAAAGAAACCAACUUUUCCUCCUCAUUUUGUUUCAUUCCGUUCCGUAUCGUAAUUCUCUCUAAUUCAAACCGCCUACUGGUUUCUUACUUAACGUAAUUUAAACGUUCCUCCAUAUCAUUAAGGCCUAAACGGAUAUAUAACAUUUUAAUAUAUGCGAAAUUCUCGCGAUUUAAUCAGGAAGCCGGAAAACGAGUUCGAAACGUGGCCACUUUGAGAACGAGGGCGUUUUGUUUCGCGGCCCAAUUUCGCUUCAAACGUAUAUCAUUUUACGUGUCGAUGGAUUUGGGUCGUAGAACUAUAUCGCGAUCGGUUAAUGGCGUUGCGUAACGCCAAACGAGAUACGUGACUCGAUAAAAAUCGAUUGUAUCAUCGACGGUGGGAACGUUCGUUUGGUUUCCUCAAGAUCCAGAGCCACGUUAUAACCCUCUCUCUUGUUAGGUUUAGAGCCCCGGAGCACGGGAACGAUGGAGCAAUUCGUUCCCUGGUCGAAGUCGUAACAGCGGUGUAGAGGUGUCGUAACAGCGACUUAAUAACAGCUACGUUGAAAAGGGAAGGGAAAAGGAAGGAAGAUCUUUAUCGGUUCUCAUUCAAAUUCGCUACUCUAUAUUUAAGGAACAUUCUAACGCUCUUUACAAAGCUCUUGAGAAUUCAUCAUGCAACUAAAACGAAGAUAAAUAGAAUACAGGAACAUACAAUCGAUAUAAAAUAAUCUGAGGAACUAUGCGGUAAAAAGUGGAAUAAAAGCAUUAUCUAUAGGAAACGUGGAUUAGCGCCCUACAUAAAAUACAUAGUCACUAAAAUACUAUAUUGUACUAGACAGGUUAGACUCCUAGACCAUGAGCCCUGGAACGUUGAAGCUAGUUGUCCACUAUUAAGGGCACAGAGGGCGCCAAAACAUUGUAUCGCCUGCGGCGCCAAACUCUUGCUACAUCAUCUUAUUAACACGGAAGAAUUUAACAAACGACGAUGAAUAACAACUUUCAUUUUUUAAAAGUACCACACAGUAACAAGUCAUUGUUCCUCUGUAAUAAAAAUGGCCGGUCGAUAAAGUGCUAAUAAUCGAUGUAGGAGUCAGGUAUUCACGGAUCGAAAAGUAGAAAGUGAAGUAUUCCAUCUACGAUUUACACUCCGUUAACGAUCGUUUGUCACGAUCGAAGAUAAAGACGGUGAGAUUCCUACGGCGUUGCUUCCAAUGAGAAUCGUAGCCAAUCGCAUCCAAUGAGAAUUGAUGGAAAUGGAAACCCUUAUCACGAGAUGUCGCCAUCCCCUGCUAAGGAUUAAAUUAUGUAAAUUCCCGGGAGUAUCGGUCGUGGCCGAUCGAAGUACAUAUUCUUUGGAAUUCGAUUAUGUGUCAACAUCGAAAUAUGUACGAACAGGAUCAUGAGAAAAGAUAAAAGGAGCGUAUUAUAAGGCUUGGAUGUCUACGAUCCUGCGACAAGUAUACAAGUAUAAUUGCUUAUGGAUGCGGACACGCCCUGAGAGAAAAAUUCAUCCGGGGAAUGCGCUGAAGUAACCACGUCCUUGACCGUACUUGACGGAAACGGCAUUCAACCUUCUGAUGCCUUCUUCUCCGUCGUCCAAGAUGGAAUUCUACCGCGAGGCGGUUGUAUUCCAGCUGAACGCCGUGUUUGGAACUUUUAUUUGAUGACUACCUAGAGAAAAUAUCAGAAAGAAAAUCGGGGAAGAAUGUUGGAAGUUGUUAAUUGCAAAAAUGGUGGAAUUAUUAUUUCUUUUAAAACACUAAUAACCCAUUGUUCGAAAACAAGAAUUCUAGCGUCUAUAUUUCAAAAUGACCCGAAUAUUUACGAAAGAUAAGAGAACGAUUGCCUAUUUUAAUACCAUGCCGUGAUUUGUCGAGUAUCUAAUCUAUAAAAUAGUUUUCAAGGAUACUAGAUAUCCUAAUGAAUGAUAAAAUGAUUUAAGUGCCAAGUUACACAGAUCAUAUGUAUUUAUUUCAUCUUUCCAGAUUUUCAUUGUAAGACUAAGAAUCACCUUUGUAAAUUUCCAUGCUUUCUACAAAGUAUACAAGCAACAUAGUUACAUACGUGUAAUGCAGGCAAAUUACUCAAGAAUAUUAUCCGCCUGACUUGAAAGUGGGCAUGCAGGAUGGAACCUGAUUCGCAGUGCGAAGUCUAAAUGACACGGGAGAGGAACGGGAAAUCUGACAUUCUCGUUUUCUUCUCGCACAAGCUAGCACCUCGUUAACUGAUCAAGAUUUUAUUUUGUUAACUGGCUAUCGCCAUCCUCGCCAAUUAGGAUACAAAAAAAAUUGGAAUAGAAAUAAAAAAAGCUUGGUUUUAUAAAAAUUACGCAAAGUUUAUCACUGAACGUUAAUUGACGAGGGCCGUAUAAUAAUGGUAUCGCAUGAUUGAUUUAAAAGGUGGAGGAGGAAUCUGAAAUUUUUAAAAGAUUUGUUUCGUCUGGAUCAAAAAUUUUGUGCUUCCCGGUUGGAGGCUUUCCUUCCUCUUCUUUUCGUGACAACGUAACGCAACAUGCUCGUUAGAUUGGGGUUCGAGUGCGCGAGAAAGGGGAGGAAUUUAUGCCGUCGUUAACAUAACGUUCCUUGGUGCAAGGUGGUUUACAAGCAACAUCGUAAAAUCCACGUCUUCUCGAUUUAUCAUAGCACGAGCAACAAACUGCUCGCAUUCCCUUCAUUCGCCAGUGCGUGGAAUAUCUCGUGGCGAAGGUUGUUCACCCUUCUCGAGGGACUAAAAUCACUCUAGAUCCUCCGAGAUAAUGAGGUAUAUCGAAUUGGUAAUAAACAGUGGAAAAGGAGUA